Musa acuminata AAA Group (dessert banana) is the source of this 1328-nucleotide long non-coding RNA. RefSeq lists it as uncharacterized. The transcript has 3 exons. The record is from RefSeq and is a predicted model, not a curated record. Lineage: Eukaryota; Viridiplantae; Streptophyta; Magnoliopsida; Zingiberales; Musaceae.
UCGAGUCGUGGCACCCAAUUUUGCGCUCCCUUCCGAGCCGAUUUGCUCGACCGAUCAGCGAAGGAAGACAAGGCGAUCACGGACUCACGGAAAGCCGCGAUGGCCAUUGCCAAAUCUCCGCUGCCGAUCUUGUCGUCUUCGGUCGGCCGUGAUCCCAUUUGAGGUUCGAGCUGUAGUGAGUAUAUUCAUGCAUAAAAGGAAGUGUCACUCCAGUUUCAAACAGAAAGACGUCUUUACAUCGAUAAACACGAUGAAGCUUCAACUUAUUUGGCUUGGGUGAGCUGUUGAAAUGCUAUUGACUGUGGAAGGAGGAGGAUUCUUUUCUUCUUCUGCAUCAGGGUAUACCAGUGGUCUUGCCCUUCUACUUUUUGGCCGGAGAAAUGAUGAGCAGCCCAUGAAAGUUUCACCAUGGACUAACUACCAGUUAGUGGAGCAAGGACUUGAGUCAGAAUCUCAGCUGGCUUCUAGGAAAAAGCAAAAUUCUCAAGGAUGCACUUCCUUCAUAUGUUUCAGUUGUGCUCAAGAAAGACAAUUUCCUCACAAACUUGAUCUAGCUAACCAGUCUGAAACUUCAUCAGAUUCAUCAUCUUCUGAUGCGAACAAGGUAACAAUCAGUGGUGCUGCUACUGUGAGUGAAAGGAAGCCUUGUCUCAAGAGUAAUAUAAAGAAGCCUUCCAGAAAUUGUUCCACAGCAUGUGAAGGUGAUGAUUCCCAUGAAGUUUCAGGAGUGGAAAAUGAGACAUCUUGUUGUACUGUAGGGAGGAAAGUUCAGUGGACUGAUAAAUGUGGGAAGGAGCUUGUAGAGAUAAGAGAAUUUGAGCUCAGUGAUGACGAUCCAUCGGAUGGGGAAUUUGAGCAUGAAAAAUUCAGAAGAUGUGAAUGUGUAAUUCAGUAAAUUUAAUAUAUCCGUAAAUGGAUGCAAGGACCCAAGCAGAUUGGGAAAGCAUGGUAAUCCUCUGGCAACUGCAGAAAUCUGCAUUGUAAUUGGCUGUAUAAACCAGUCAACUCCAUCACAACCAACAAAUACGUUUGUUCAAGUAUCAUGGAGGAGAAUGUGGGACAAUCACGUACCCUUUUUGUGCCACUCCUAUUUUUUAUUUGUUGCAGCCAAGUUUCCUUUUCCUGAUUGUUUCCACUUUUUUGACUGGCAAUCUAGGCUUCAUAUCCUGUUUGCCUUUUGUAUUGUAAUAUUCAUUUAGUGUUUCCUCGCUUAACAUUAUGUUGUUUAUAUUACUGUAUCAAUUAAAAUGGCCUUUCUUGCAUGUAUAAAACUGCUUUGCUUUUGCAUCUUUUAUUCUUCUUGUAUUAAUAAAUUUCAUACUUCAGUA